UCCUACGAAAAAAAUAUCAUACGGUCGGAAAAUAAGGGAAUCAAUUAUCGGUGCAUCCUAGUCGGUCCAGCAUAAUUUCAAAUUAAUACUGGCCAGUUCUCUGUUCCGGUAUUGUCCGCCAUCUUAUGUGUCCUCUCAGGAGUACGAAGCUAUGAAAAAGGCACACGAAGCAAAGAAGGAAGCUGAGAGACAACAAAAUUUUAAUCCUCCUUCCUGGAGUGGGAAAGUUCCACAAACUGAAAUUCACGAACGUAUUGGAUAUAUGCCACAACAAAAUCAACAACCUAGACACUCGAGGCCUAAUAUAUAAAUAAUAUAAAUGAGAAUAUUUUCACUUAUUUAUUCUUGAAAAAAAAAUAAAUAAA
Vespula vulgaris is the source of this 365-nucleotide long non-coding RNA. RefSeq lists it as uncharacterized. NCBI's taxonomy places the organism in Eukaryota, Metazoa, Arthropoda, Insecta, Hymenoptera, Vespidae. The record is from RefSeq and is a predicted model, not a curated record. The transcript is spliced from 2 exons.